CCCCAAUGGUAGAGGUAUUAACCAUUAACCAUGUCUUAAUAAUUAACUGGUAUUAAUCCAGUUCCAGAUGUCUCCAAAAGGGACCAGCUGCUGGACAAAUCUGAGCCUGUGAGUUUCACCUCUGUGGUAAAGUAUUUAAAAAAGGAUAAAAAUAUUGAACAGCAGCUUUGAGAGGAGGGAGAAAAUAUGGAGGGAAACAGUCAUGAAGACACCAAGCUCAGUGAAGAAGGAGGAAAAGAGAUGUUCCAGGCACCAGAGCAGGAUGUUCCCUGUGAGACUGUGAUGAAGUGUGAUGAAGAAGGUUUGAGCCCCUGCAGCCCAUGGUGUAUCAUAUCAUAUCAGAGCAGAGCAGAGCAGAGCAGAGAUCUACACUACAGUCUGUGGAGGACUCCAUGCCAGAGCAAGCACACCUGCUUUGAAGUAAACUUCAGUUUUUAGAGAUGAGCUCAUGCUGAAGCAGGGGAGGAGCAUUACAAGGAAGGAACAGUAGAGGCAAAGUGUUAUGAACUGACCACAACCCCAUUCCACUGUCCUUAUUCCCCUGAAUCAUGUAAGGCAGAAGACAUAGAAACCUCAAGAUUGAAGUUGAGCCUAAGAAGAAGAGGUGGACAGGAGAAGGAGUCACAGAAGGCUGGAACUUCUUCAAGAAGUCUGAUCUGCUUGGCUGACCAGAGAGCUUCAUUUGGAAUAGAGUGAUUAGCUCAGGAAGAAUGGGAAGGCAACAUACGAGGAAAAAUGUAGUGAUGGAAGACGAGAAUAAGGCUGAGUUACUUAAUUCUUUAUAUUCCUUCUUUCUUCAUUAGUAAUUCCAGUUGUUUCCAGGAUGUCUAGGCCCCUGAGUUGGAAGACAGUGACAGAGAGCAAGAUGAAGCACCUAUAAUCCAAUGGGAAACUUGGUGACCUCCUGCAUCAUCUGAAUGUUCAUAAGUCUAUGGGGCCAGACAGGAUUCAUCCAAAGGCUGCUGUCCUGUUUGUUGCCUGGGAGAAGAGGCCAAACCCCUCCUCAUCACAGCCUUCGUUCAGGAAAUUGGAGACUGCGGUCAUCAAUGAAGAUACUAAACAAGAUGGACACUAGUACCAAACCCUGGAGGACACCACUUGAAACAGGUUGCCAGCUGGACUUAACUCCAUUAACCACUACCUGUCGGGCAUGGCCCUCUAGCCAGUUCCUUCCCCAAAAAAGGGUAUACCUGUCCAGGCCACGGGCAGCCAGUUUUCCCAGGAGAAUGCUGUGAGAGAUUGUGUCAAAGGCUUGGCUGAAGUCUAGGUAGAGUCGAUCAACAGCUUUUCCCUCAUUUAUCAGUCUGGUCACCCAGUUGUAGAAGGAGAUGAGGUUGGUCAAGCAUGACCUGCCUUUUAUGAAGCCAUGCUGGCUGGGCCUGAUCCCCUGGACGCCAUGCACAUGCUGUGUGAUCUCACCCAAGACGAUUUGCUCCAUAACUUUCCCUGGUACUGAGGUCAGGCUGACAGGCCUGUAGUUCCCCAGAUCCUCCUUAAAGCCCUUCUUGUAGAUGGGAGUCACAUCAGCAAGCCUCUGGAACCUCUCCAGAUAACCAGGAGUGCUGGUAGAUGGCCAAGAGCAGCUCAGCAAUCAUCCCUGCCAGCUCCCUCAGCACCCGAGGGUGCAGCCCACCUGAUCCCAUGGACUUGUGACAGUCCAGAUGGAGGAGAAACUCUCUAACUGUCUCCACCUGAAUCACCAGGGGUGUAUUCUGUAUAGCAUCCCAGACUUCCAGAUCAGGGUGUAAAGUGCCCUGAGGAUAACUGAUCUGACUAUUAAAGGCAGAUGUAAAGAAAGCACUGAGGACCUCAGCCUCUCCUUAUCCUCAGAGGUCACAUUGCCCGCUGCAUCAAGUAAAGGAUGGAAAUUCUCCAAGGUUCUUCUGUUACAUCUAAUUUAUUUGUAGAAGUAUUUCUUAUUCUCUUUCACUGCAGUGGCCAAUCUGAGUUCAAGUCAGGCUUUUGCUUUCCUAACUUCCUAACUGCAUACCUCAGCAACUUCCUUGUUAUCUCCUCCCCAAGUUGCCUGUCCCUUCUUCCAGAGGACACAGACUCGGUUUUUUUUCCAGAGUCUCAACAAUAGUUCAUGGUUUAUCCACACCAGUCUUCUUCCCCUACGGCUCGCCUUAUGGCACUCAGGGAGUCCUGUUCUUGUGCCUUUAAGAUUUCCAUCUUGAGGAGCGUCCAGGCUUACUGGACCCCUUCACCCUUAAAGAGCAACUCCCAAGGGACCUGUGCUACAAGCGUCCUGAACAGGUCAGAGUCCGCCCUCUGGAAGUUAAAGAUAGCAGUUUUGCUAGUCACCCUUCUGACAUCUCCAAGAAUAGAGAACUCUACAGUUUCAUGGUCACUCUGCCCAAGACAGUCCCCAGCCUUCACAUCUCCCACCAGUCAUUCACUGUUUGUGAAGAGCUGGUCUAGCAGGGCACCACCCCUGGUAGGCUCUCAUACGAGCUGUGUAAGGAAGCUAUCUUCCACGCACUCUAGAAACCUCCUGGACUGCUUUCUCUGCACUGUAUUAUAUUUCCAACAUAUAUCAGGUAAGUUGAAGUCUCCCAAGAGAAUGAAUGCAGGCGAUUGCAUGACUUCACAAGCUGCUCAUAGAAUGCCUCAUCCAUCUCUUCAUCCUGAUGAGGUAGUCUGUAACAGACUCCCACCAAGAUGUCACCCCUACAGGCCUCCCCCCUGAUCCUUACCUGUAGACACUCAACUUCAUCAUUCCCAACCCCAAGCUCUUCAACAUCAAAACACUCUUCAAUAUAAAGGGCCAUACCACCACCCUUCCUUCCUCGUCUAUCCCUUCUGAAGAGCUUGUAGCCAUCCAACACAGCACUCCAGUCAUGGGAGUGGUCCCACCAUUUUUCAGUAAUAGCAACUAGGUCAUAGUUAGCCUGCUGCACAAUCGCUUCCAACUCCUCCUGCUUGUCGCCCAUGCUGCGUGCAUUGGUGUAGAUGCACUUGAGCCAAGUCAUCUGCCUCAUCCCCAUCUCAGGCAUUGUUCCCCCAGGCUCAUCUCUGGUUAACCCUGUUUUUUUCCCUUCCCCUGUCAUAGCUAGUUUAAAGCUCUUUUGAUAAGCCCCGCUAACUCCUGCCCUAGGAUUCAUUGUCCGCUUUGAGAUAGGUGGGUUCCAUGCAGAGACAACAGGCCAGGGGCCAAGUAAACUGACCCAUGAUCAAAGAACCCAACGUUUCUGCCUUGACACCAGCCUCUGAGCCAAUUAUUUAUUGCUUGUGCUUUCCAAGCCCACUCUGUGUCCCUCACUGCCCCUGAAGGUAUAAAGCUAAAGAUCACUUGAGCUCCCACUCCUUGAACUAAGCUCCCUAAACCCCUGCAAUCUCUCUUCAUAGUUUGUAGGCUUCUCAGAGCAAUUUCAUCACUGCCCACCUGAACUAUGAGUAAUGGAAAGGAAUCCGUGGACCUAACCUGCUGGGGGAGUUUCCUGGUUAUGUCUCUGACCCAGGCCCCUGGAAGGCAACACCCUUCCCAGUUGCGCAGGUCCAAUCUACAUAUGGGGCCCUCCAUUCCUCUGAGAAGGGAAUCUCCCAUCACAACCACAUUUCUUUCUCUCCUGACAGAGGCAGUCUCAAGGCGUGGGGGGUGACCACAUUGCCUUAGACUCCUUCCUAGGCAGAUCCUCCAUCACCUCCCUACUCCCCUCCCCUUCAAUUUCUAGAAUCUCAAACCUGCUGCUUAGAGGGAGCUGGGGACACAGGGUAGGCAGGCACAGGGGCCCCCGUGACACCAAGCCAGGACUCUCUUCCAGUUCUCCUCAUCAGACAGGUCUGUCUGACUGUGACAGGGCAGGAGGUCAACCACUUUUCUGGGGAUAUCUCCCUAGCACCCUUCCCUCCAGCAUACCAUCAAGUCACUCCACCAGUCAGUCUCCCGCUCACACUCCCUGAUGGUCCUUAAUCUUUGCACCUCCUCCUUGAGCUCCACGACCAGGCUGAGCAGCUCAUCCACCUGCUCACACCUCACAGAGGUGGAAUCCCUGCCACCCUCCCCAGGCAGCAGCAGGCUCAGGCACUCCUUGCAGCCAGAGACCUGAACAGCUACAUUUCUGGGCAGGCCCUCCAUCUGGGUCAGCACACUCUUCUUAGAAUAAGCCCACUGUCUGGUGAAGACCAUGUUUAGGCCUGCAGUCUCAGAGACUGUCAAGAGGAAAGCUGGUCUCCUGAGCAAGGAGGAACUAUACUUACAGUCCUCACCACUUGACCCACCUCCCACACCCACAGCUGCAGCACCAUAUGGGCAUUGUGGGCUGUGCUCACUCACUGAGCUUCCUCAUUCUCAGUGGGCAGCAACAAUGGUUAGUCACCCAGGGAGCUCUGUAGGCAGAAGCUAGCUUCCCAAAGUUAUUUAAAGCUUAUUAUCAGGUGCAAACAUUAAGGGCAGGUGUUUAAACUGUGCCACUAACAUGCUAGCUGCACCCCUUGUUGUCUCAGGAGCCUGCCCCAAAGCUGCUAGCUCCUCAGCACCAGCACAGCACUGUUACUGGCUUCAAAACAGCCUUAAAAAGAGGGUUUUUUUUGUUGGUCUUUUAUAUUUCAGCUUCCUUGUUCUGUGCAGUCUUACUUGCUUUGAGGCUAGUCCCUGCAGCAAAUUUUUGUAUGGUGUAACCAAAAUUUUAUAUACAUGAAAGUAAUUUGUAGCUUUUCUGUACAGAAAAAGUUAUUUAUGGGUUUAACGGGCAUGUAGUGAAACACACAGAAAUAUAGGCCUUGUGUGAAAGCAGAUACUUGAGAAAUGGGGACAUAAGAAGUAGGGUAGAGGACAGGGGAGCACAGAUGUGGGGUGAUUAGAGUCAGCACAAGCUGACUCUGAAAACCCUUUAGCUCUGAACCCUCCAGCAGUCACUUAAAGAAAUGCAUGUCUGGAUCCGAACAAAACUGGCUUCAGUGGUAAUACAGAACAAGGAGCAAGUAUAUAAUUAUGUAAAAUCCAUCAUAUACAGUAAGCGUACAUGAUAUAAAAAGAUUCAUUACAGAAUUGCAGACAAGUGAAGAAAAAGCAAACUAUAAAUUAUGUGUUAACAAGCAUACAGAAAGUGGACCCUAGAGUGAGGAAGCUGAAAACAUAAACAUGAAGGUCCUCCUGGUGGAAUACUUAGAAUGUUGCUUGACUUCUUGUGUUCCACCAAAGUACACUGUUAUCAUUACACAAGGAGAAGAAAAGAGGAACAGUACACCAACAGAAGAACUAGAAGCUAGGAAGUGUGCAUAUAGUAAUUUUAACUGUAUUGCUAUUAUGAAUGUGUUAUUAUUAAUAUAUUUUCUGUAUAAUUGGAUUUGCUUUUUUCAUGUAACAUUUAGAUCUGGACUAAUAGUAAUCCUGUAAUAAGACUGUUAAGAUUUCAGUUAUACAACCUCUUGGCUUUUUAUAUGUUUCCUCUUUUGUUCAUAACAAGAUUUUAAGCAACAGAAUGCUCUCCAGGGCUUGAGCACAGGCAAGUAAAUUGGAAGGUCAUGGGACUUCUUUCUGGGAGUGCUGUGGUGAGUGAUGAGAAAUGGUAAUACCUAUGGAGAGGUGACAUCUGAUAGGUGAUGAGAACUGGUUGCCCUGCUGAGACUUAAAAGCACUGUGCAUAAGAGACAAAGAAACAAUUACCGUCUCUGGUUAAUUAACAAUGCAGCUGCAAAAAUAAAUAAAUAAAUAAAUAAAUGUUGAGGUGGGGGGGGGAAGUGGUUGUUAAAUGCUAUUGCAUCCAUAAAUGGCUUCCUUGAACAUAAUGCAGUGGAGAAUCUGAAUGGCAUGUUUUUUACUUUUUCAAAGGCAAAUUCCUUAGGAAAAAGGAUUUGUCUUUUUAAAGCUAUUUGAUCACAUUCAAAUCCUCUCUUCUUGGUACAACAUGUUACCUUUUUGUUAUGAAUUUAGGGAGUACAUUUUAAUAGCUCAAUGUGAAGUUCAUAAGAGGAUCAAAUGCCUAAAUAUUAUUUUUAAUGCUCUUCAGCUCAUUUCCUUUUUUCCUGCUGAUAUUGCUAAAAAGUCUGCCAAGAACGCACUGGCAAAUUGUAAGUACUCAAAUAAUGAACAUCUCAUCCAAUGUUUUGUGGAUAAUUAGGGGAUUACAUGUCAUCAAGACUAAGGCCACCUUUUAUUAACCAUAAAUUUUUCACUUGUGUAGACUUUUAUUACUUCAGGUUCCUAUUAUUUUUAAAGUUUUUAAAAGCAUAUAAAUAUUGCUAACUUUUAACAUUUGGUGCUCCAAUAUGAGCAUAACACAACCUUACAUCAGAUCCGUCCAAAAUUAUUUCUUAUCAUUUAUUAUCAAUGGUUUAGUUCCAUCAACAUGGAUACAGCUGAUAGUUGGCUGCUCACUUCCAGUGGUUGGUUUACUUCCUAUUCCAGUAGAAAUAAGAAAAAAAUUACAAAGAGAUACAUUAAGUGAAUUAUUUACUAGAAAAGUAUGGAAAAAUAAAAAGUAUGGAAAAGUAUGGAAAAUAAAAAGAUCUUGAGGGAUCUUGAGGGAUAUUGUACAGACAAAGAAUAAAAUCAGGAAGCUUAAUUUUAGGAAAGCCAAAUUCCAGCUCUCCAGGGAGUUAGUCAACAAAACCCCCUGGAAAUCUGUCCUCGAAGUCAAGUGUGAAGAGCAGAGUUGGCAGAUCUUUGAGGAAGCUUUCCUUAGGGUCCAAGAGUUCUCCAUCCCCAGAUGGACGAAGUCAGGAAAGGAAGGCAAGAGACUGGCAUGACUGAACUGGGACCUGCUCAUCAAACUGGAAAGCAAGAAAAUGCACAGGUAGUGGAAGCAGGGACAGGUAACCUGGGAUGAGUAUAGAGAUGCUACUAGGCUGUGUAGAGAUGGGGUCAGGAAGGCCAAGGCCCAACUGGAACGGGACUUGGCAAGGGGAGCAUAUGAUAAGAAAGUCUUCCGUAGGUUCAUCAACUGUAAAAGGAAAGUCCAGGAGGGUGUACAUUCCCUAAUGGGCAACACAGGCAGGCUAGUAACAGAAGACAAGGAGAAGGCUGAGUUAUUCAAUAACUUUUUUGCCUCAGUCUUCACUGGUGACUGCUCUACAUACAGCCUUUGAGCAGACGGCUCAGAAGGUGAGAACUGGGGGAGUGAUGCCCCUCCCGCUGUAAGCAAAGAUCAAUAUCAUGACUGCCAGAGGAACCUGAACAUCCAUAAGUCCAUGGAUCCCAAUGAGAUGCACCAAGAGUCCUGAGGGAAUUGGCUGGCAUAGUCACCAAGCCACUUUCAAUGAUAUUUGAAAAGUAAUAGUGAUCAGGUGAAGUCCCUGGUGUCUGGAAAAAAAGCAAUGUCACAUCCAUUUUUAAGAAGGGUAGAAAAGACCCAGGGAACUGCCAACCUGUCAGCCACACUUCUGUACCAAGGAAGAUCAUGGAGCAUUUAUUCCCGGAAGCUGUACUAAGACAUACAAAAGAGAGGGACCUAAUAUAGGAUAACCAGCAUGCCUUCACUGCCUGACCAACUUGUCACUUUUUAUGAUGGCUUAACUGCAUCAGUGGACAAGGGAGGAGCCAUUGAUGUCAUAUAUCUGGACUUCAGUAAGGCCUCUGACAUGGUCCCUCAUAACAUUCUUCUCUCCAAAUUGGAAAAAUACGGAUUUGAUGGGUGGACAGUUCAAUGCACAAGGAACUGGUUGCAAGAUCAUACCCAGAGAGUAGUGGAAAAUAGCUCAGUGUCUGAAUGGAGAUCAGUGAUGAGUGGUGUCCCUCACAGGUCAGUCAGUACUGGGGCAAAUUCUCUUUAACAUCUGCAUCAGUGACACUGACCAUGCAAUUAACCCGCAGCAAAUUUGCAGAUAACAGUAAGCUGUGUGGUGUGGUUGACACUCCUGGAGGAUAGGAUACCAUCCAUAAAGACCUAGAUAGGCUCAAGAAGUGGGCUCAGGAUAACCUCAUGAGGCUUAAUAAGAACUCCAAGAUUUUUCACCUAGGUUAUGGCAACUCCUUUUGUCAGUACAAGUUGGAGGAACGUAAGGAUGAAGAGCAGCACUGCCAGAAAGGACAUGGGGAUACUGGUGGAUGGGAAGCUGAACACGAGCCAGCAAUGUGCCCUCACAGCCCAGAAAGCAAACCAUAUCCUGGGCUGCAGCAAAAGCAGCAUGGUAAGCAGGUUGAGGAAAGUGACUCUGUCCAUCUCUCUGCACUGGUGAGACCUCACCUAGAGUACUGCAUCCAGAUAUGGAGUCCUCAGUACAGAAGAGAUGUGAACCUGUUAUAGCACAUCCAGAAGAGGGCCACAAAAAUGAUCUAAGGAUGGAACAUCUCCCCUGUGAGGGCAGGCUGAGAGAGCUGGGGCUGUUCAGCCUGGAGAAGGCUCCAGGGAGACCUAAUAGCAGCCUUUCAGGAUCUAAAGGGGAAGCUGUAAGAAAGAAGUGGACAGACUCUUUAGCAAAGUCUGUGGUGACAGAACAAAGGGAAAUGGUUUCAAAUGAAAAGAGGGGAGAUUUAGAUUGGAUAUAAGGAAGAAGUUUUUUUUUUUUUUUACAAUAAGAGAGGUGAGGAGCAAGGAAAAAGAGCAACAAAAAAGGUGAAAGGUCUAGAGGGAACGAUGUAGGAGGAUCAGCCUGCAUUCAGUUUGUUCAGCCCAGAGCAGAGCAGCUGAGGGGAGGCCUCAUGGUGGCUGCAGCUCCUCACAGGGCAUGGAGGGGCAGUGCUGAGCUCUGCUCUGUGGCGACAGCGGUAGGGCCCGAGGGAGCAGCAUGGAGCUGUGUCAGGGAAGGGUCAGGUCGGGAACUAGGAACUGGUUCUCCACUGAGAGGGUGGUCUGGCACUGCAACAGGCUCCCCAGGGAAGCGGUCAUGGCACCAAGCCUGCUGGAGCUCAAGAAGCAUUUGGACAGCACUCUCAGACAUAUGGUUUAACUUUUAGGUAGUCUUGUGUGGAGCCAGGAAUUGGACUUGAUGAUCCUUGUGGGUCCCUUCCAACUUGGGAUCUUUUGUGACUCUGUGAUUCACAAACUGCAGUCAGUGUUUUCAGGGUAACAAGGAGGGUAGAAAAGGGGAGUAAAGUAAGAAUUUUAAGGAAAAGGAUGGUGAAAAUAUCAAGUAGGCGAAGCCCAAGCACAGUAGCAUAAGCACAGAAAUCAACUGAGGAAUAACAAUUAUUUGGAGCUCCUUUAUGACCUGUAACAUUUAGGAUCAAAACUGUCUUUACUUUCCUGGGGUGGAGAGUAACAAUUGUGCCUAGAAAGUCACAUAACUUACCUCUGUGAAUCAUAGAAUUACUCAGGUUGGAAAGGACCUCAGAGAUCAUCAAGUCCAACCGCAGCCUAACCAUAGUACCCUAACUCUAACAACCCCCUGCUGAAUCAUAUCUCUGAGCAUCACAUCCAAACGGCUCUUAAACACAUCCAGGAAUGGUGACUCAACCACCUCCCUGGGGAGCCUAUUCCAGUGUUUAACCACCCUUUCUGUAAAGAAGUGUUUCCUAACGUCCAGCCUAAACUUACCUUGGAGCAACUUGAGGCCAUUUCCCCUUGUCUUGUCACCUGUCACCAGUGAGGAGAGACCUACCCCGCUCUCACUGUAAGCACCUUUCAGGUACUUGAAGAGAGUAAUCAGGUCUCCCCUCAGCCUCCUUUUCCCCAGACUAAACAGCCCCAGCUCCAUCAGCCUCUCCUCAUAGGGCUGAUUUUCCAAGCCCUUCACUAGUCUCAUUGCCUUUCUCUGGACCUACUCCAGUACCUCCAUGUCCUUCUUGUACUGAGAUGCCCAAAACUGAACACAGUCCUCAAGGUGAGGCCUCACCAAUGCCGAGUACAGGGGCAGGAUGACUUUCCUAGUCCUGCUCACCAUACCAUUCCUGAUACAAGCCAGGAUGCCAUUGGCCUUCUUGGCCACCUGGGCACACUGCUGGCUCAUAUUCAGCCGACUGUCCAACAGUACACCAAGGUCCCUUUCCAUCAGGCAGCUUUCCAGCCACACCUCCCCAAGCCUGUAGGGUUGCCUGGGGUUCUUGUGACCAAAAUGCAGGACCCGACACUUGGCCCUUUUGAAACUCAUGCCGUUAACCUUGGCCAUCGAUCCAGUCUAUCCAGAGCCCUCUGUAAUGCCCUUCUCCCCUCAGGCAGAUCAACACUCCCUCCC
This is a long non-coding RNA of Gallus gallus (chicken), 10053 nucleotides long. The record is from Ensembl. Lineage: Eukaryota; Metazoa; Chordata; Aves; Galliformes; Phasianidae.